GUUGUCCGGAUUUAUUGGGCGUAAAGCGAGCGCAGGCGGUGAUUUAAGUCUGAUGUGAAAGCCCCCAGCUCAACUGGGGAGGGUCAUUGGAAACUGGAUCACUUGAGUGCAGAAGAGGAGAGUGGAAUUCCAUGUGUAGCGGUGAAAUGCGUAGAUAUAUGGAGGAACACCAGUGGCGAAGGCGGCUCUCUGGUCUGUAACUGACGCUGAGGCUCGAAAGCGUGGGUAGCAAACAGGAUUAGAUACCCUGGUAGUCCACGCCGUAAACGAUGAGUGUUAAGUGUUGGAGGGUUUCCGCCCUUCGGUGCUGCAGUUAACGCAUUAAGCACUCCGCCUGGGGAGUACGACCGCAAGGUUGAAACUCAAAGGAAUUGACGGGGGCCCGCACAAGCGGUGGAGCAUGUGGUUUAAUUCGAAGCAACGCGAAGAACCUUACCAGGUCUUGACAUCCUUUGGCCGCCCUAGAGAUAGGGUUUCCCCUUCGGGGGCAAAGUGACAGGUGGUGCAUGGUUGUCGUCAGCUCGUGUCGUGAGAUGUUGGGUUAAGUCCCGUAACGAGCGCAACCCUUAUUGUUAGUUGCCAGCAUUGAGUUGGGCACUCUAGCAAGACUGCCGGUGACAAACCGGAGGAAGGCGGGGAUGACGUCAAAUCAUCAUGCCCCCUAUGACCUGGGCUACACACGUGCUACAAUGGGAAGUACAACGAGCAAGCCAAGCCGCAAGGCCUAGCGAAUCUCUGAAAGCUUCUCUCAGUUCGGAUUGCAGGCUGCAACUCGCCUGCAUGAAGCCGGAAUCGCUAGUAAUUGCGGAUCAGCAUGCCGCGGUGAAUCCGUUCCCGGGCCUUGUACACACCGCCCGUCACACCACGAGAGUUUGUAACACCCAAAGUCGGUGCGGCAACCCUUCGGGGAGCCAGCCGCCUAAGGUGGGACGAAUGAGUGGGGUGAA
Molecule: ribosomal RNA, 947 nt
Filed under: uncultured bacterium
Lineage: Bacteria
Description: bacterial SSU rRNA
Rfam family: Bacterial small subunit ribosomal RNA
Source: RNAcentral